CUUCGUCCAAACUAAACCUCGGCGCAAACCUUUCCUCCCUAUCAUGUCCCUCGGUCUGAACUGGGCGAUAACCUCCUGAUCGACUAGGUCGACGUCGCGAGGAGUCCCAGUUCGGUCCUGGGUGCUCGGCUGAAUUCCUUGGUGGAAGGCUGAUAGAUUGGUAAUCGAAGGAUGGCAAGGGGAAUUGGGAAAGGCCGCGGCGUUUGAGGUACAAGCGGUUAUACAGCGUAAGACCCCCGAACCAUGUUAAGAUGGCGAUGACAACGCUACUCGCUGUGUCAGUUGUGAAAGGGAAGAGGGGAACGGUAGAUGACCCACAUAGCUCCAAAAGCAAAAUAAUAGUUUCUUGUGAUAAAUAAGUCAGAGUCACACGGUGCGCAUCUCACUCGUAUAGCAGUGGAAGCCGUUUGUCCCGGGUUGUUAGGGCAUAUUGAUCCAUCCGUCAUGAUGAUCAUGGGCUCAUCCGUCAUGGGCGACAAUGUCAAGGUUGUAUUCACUUCUCUACCCGCCCAUGCAUCAGCCCGGAACCGCACAUGCGAGAUAAUACUUGUGAUCGAGACCCCAAAGACUCACCCCAUAGAGAAAUCGACAUAGCCAUCCCUCAUCAAUGCCCCAACAUUUUCAGGUUCAUCUAUCCUAUACGUUUGGCUCACUACUUUGCGGCAAACAUUGAGGAUGUAAGUUAUAUCUCCAACAUUCGCGACAUAAUCCCCUUUGGCAGAGGCAAGUUGGGUGAGGUCGUAGUACGUUCCGUCCUCAAGAGUGAGAGUACAGGGUUUAUCUUUCAUGCUGGAGUCACUGAUGCAGUAAUCUCAGAGCGGGUUCGGUAUUGCAUGGUUUGACACAGCAGCGGCGGAUAAAUAAACAAAAUGACGCAUUGUUGAUUUGCUUGGCGAUUCGGCGGCGAUAUCCUUCCCCUUUCUUGUGCAACCAGCAAUCCUUCACGUAUACACUGUACAGUGCCGAACGCAAAACCAUGUAUUCACUCUCAGUGCACUCUUCCUGCUUACUGAGACGUCGCCCACUGCCCUCUCCCUGACAACUCUCCCUCUGAAAAUACACGACCUUUUCAUAUAAAACCCUUUUGCAAACAAUCAUCAUUCUGAACCGCACCAAAGCCAUUCUGAUAGAAUACCCAUGCAUUGCUGAUGCACCCGCAAGUCCUGCAGGACCGUUAAGCAUGCGGUUCCCUCCCCUCGUUCUUGCUCUACAUCCCGACAAUUACUCUAUUCGUCGUCGCCAGCAGCCUCGAGGUACUUGUGUCGGAUGUCCUUCCAUUGCUUCUGCAAAUCAUCGGGGUUGACCGUCAGCUGAUGUACAUCACAAACAAACCAAUCCGGCAACGGGGAUGCCUAGACAUAAUUUCGCUCUUCUCUCGCAAAGACCAUUGUUGUAGGAGAAAAAAAAACCAAAAGACUCACUCCUCGGUUGUGGGAGUCCCAGAAGGCAGUGGUGGCGAGGUCGAAGCCCAU
RNAcentral lists this small RNA (1472 nucleotides) under Cryptococcus neoformans H99. RNAcentral describes it as "Cryptococcus neoformans var. grubii H99 hypothetical RNA". The record is from RNAcentral. Lineage: Eukaryota; Fungi; Basidiomycota; Tremellomycetes; Tremellales; Cryptococcaceae.